This 5965-nucleotide long non-coding RNA is filed under the name Medicago truncatula (barrel medic). RNAcentral's name for it is "long non-coding RNA (MTRU_LNC000262)". The record is from RNAcentral. Lineage: Eukaryota; Viridiplantae; Streptophyta; Magnoliopsida; Fabales; Fabaceae.
AAGGGUUCAACUCUUUUGGUUAAUGUAUGGGCCAUCGCUCGAGACCCAAAAGAAUGGGUUGAUCCAUUAGAGUUCAAACCUGAAAGGUUCUUACCAGGUGGUGAGAAGUGUGAUGUUGAUGUUAAGGGAAAUGAUUUUGAAGUUAUACCUUUUGGUGCUGGACGUAGAAUAUGUCCUGGGAUGAGUCUAGGGCUUCGUAUGGUCCAACUUCUAACAGCUACACUGGCCCAUUCAUUUGAUUGGGAACUUGAAAAUGGACUCAAUGCUGGAAAAAUGAACAUGGAUGAAGGUUAUGGGUUGACACUGCAACGAGCUGUGCCAUUAUUGGUACACCCUAAACCUAGACUCUCGCCACACGUGUACUCGUCUUGUUUCUGAUUUUUAAGUUUGUGUUUGUGAAUUUUUUUCUUUUCUUACUAGUUGGUCCCUCGCUUCAAUUUCUUGCCUAGUUAUAAUAAUGUGAAUAAAUGGGAUUUGUCGUGUGCUGCUGUGUAAAGAUCUCAAAUGAGGGAAGGUGUAAUGUUAGUUCAGAUCUUGUGUGUUUCAAACUUUUGUGUGAAUAUAUACAAUUUUACUUGUUGUAACUUCUGAAAUAAACUAUAGGAGUAUGAUUCUUUCAAUUUCAAAAUUAAUAUGAAUAUUAACUCUUCUUUUCUUUUAAUUAAAAAAAUAGGUUAGGUUAGAGAUAACUAUCAAAUUAAAUAGUGUGAAUUUACAAUGAACUAACAAACAACCUAUAUCAGUAGGAAAAUUUCAUAUUUGAAUUCAAGUGACAAUUUAGUGUAACUUAUGUAAGUAGAAGGUCUAAUCAUUUUUGUCAUCCUCAAUUCGUAGAAUUUUUCAUCUAUAAAUAAAUGGAACAGGACAACUACAUUGUUAUGUAUUAUUACUAAUGAUUAAUGUUAUAUUAAUCAUCAAUUUUCAUCGCUAGAAAAAUAUAAAAUACAUGCAAAAUUCAGAGAUAUUAAAAAAUGUCUCUAUCAGAGACUGAUUUAGAGACAAAAUAAAUUAGUUCGAAACAAAACAAAAUUUUACAUUUUUAAACAAAAUAUAAAGUCAGAAUUGUUGUUACUAUGUCAAUCUAUCUCAAUAAUUUAUUCUAACUUGAAGUUAUAAUUUCAAGUUUUUGAAUCUAGAAUUGAUUUUUCGACUAAAAUUUAGUGCCCAUUUAUUAUAUAUUUUUUAUUAUUUUUAAAAUAGUAAUAAUAACCACUUAUAAGUUUGUUAUAGUUUUUUUUUUAAAAUCACAAAAAUAGUUUCAAAUGAAAAACUGUUAUGAGCAGCUUCUCAAAAAUUACCUAUCACUCGUAGUCGUAGAUAGAACAACUAAUCAUCCAUAUGGAGUUGUUAAGGAAGUGGCGGUACAAACAGACAAAAUUUUAUUUCUAUCAACAUGUGUGACAUUAGAGAUUCAAAGGAAGACUCAUUGACAACAUGAGCCUCAUUGUUUUAUGAGAAGGGAGAUCACAAAUUUCAAAAACUUACCGAGGUAAACAUGCAAACAUUGGCUUCUUUAUGCCAAAUGUAUGUUGUUCCUACCAAACAAGAGGAAGAAGAAGGAUGAUGUGUUAUUUCUUAUAUAUAAUCCACAUUAACAAUGGUUGAGGUGGCGAGCUAAUGACGUUAAACGAAAAUUGAGAUACUCUAUUCAUAAUUUAUGUAAUUUCAUCCAGGUUUUUCACUCACUUCACAUAGCUUUUUAUUCAUCUGGAUUAUUUUAAAUACGAUUUAAAUUCAUACGAAUCUAUGAUUUGAUUGGACCUAAUCAAUUGCAUUUUUCAGGAAGAGGUAGUAAGAUUGACAAGAAAUUUGGCAAGUGUUCAGACACAAAAGCUGUGAACUUGGGACAACUAUUGAAUGUAUGCACAAUCAAUGUUCCACAAAUCGAGUGUUAACUCGCCGAAUUUACCUAGUUUACGUUUUUAGCUACCAAAAUCGUGUUAACUCGGAGGUAAACUCGAUUUUUGGUAAAAUCGGAAUAUUUGACGAGUUUGACUAGAGUUAACUCGGUAAACUCGUGUAAACUCGACCGAGUUUACGUCUAAAAAAGAGAUUUAUGCUCAUUUCCCAAAUGGAUUCGCUCAUUCGCAAAGUAAAUGACCGAAAUGCCCUUAUGCAUGUUAACAUGCGCUAGUGCAAAUUAUAACGUAACUUAAGAUAAGUAGCGUGACUUAACAUGCGCUAGUGUAUUGUGAAACGUGAAUUAACUCACGUUGUCAUUUGCACUAGUGUGAGUUAACUCACGUUCAUAGCAGACAACAGAAACUGCAAUAAAUGCAGUGCAGUAACAGAACUGAAACUUGAAAAGUGUAGAAUGACCUGUAAUCACACCACAUUCAUAACUUAACCGAAUUAUGCCAGUUUAACAAGAUUAUCGGAUAAUACGACAUAAUCGAUCCAAAUUCUCAAAAACAUUGUUUUUCUCACAAUCACUUAAUCACACAUAAACAAUCCAAAUUUCAGAAAUUCGCCGGUAAUUACCCGUAAUAAUUUAAACAUACUUAAUGACACGUAAAUUACCCGGUGUUUACUUGAAUAACACGAACACCGGUAGGUACCGGUUUAGGCUUCUCUUCAAAGUUACCGGUAGGUACUGGUUUUGCUUGGUUGUGAACUAUGUGAGCUUUAACUUGAAAAGGAAUUUUCACUUUAAACUUCACAUCAUUGGUUGGUUUGCCUUCGCCGGAAACUUUGUUUUUGCCCAGUUCCGGCUCAACUCCAUCCUCCGCUACAUUUUCAACCAAGCCACUCAAUGUCUACUCAAUAAAAAAAACAAAGAAAAAAUAAAUAAGUGACUUGUGCGGCAUGCAAAGCAAAUAAAUAAAGUGGCGCAAAAUUUCAAAUUCUGGGCUACUGUCAGUAGCGAGAGUUAACUCACGCUAGUGCUAUCUACCUACGCAACUUAAGUCAUGUUGCCCUUACAACUAGCGUGAGUUAACUCACGCUGAGCCCUACGCCUACUGAAAUGAAAAACGAAACUACCAGCAAAACCAGCAAAAAUGAAAAAGUUUUGACGGUACAUUACAUGUUCUUUGAUGCUUGAUGAGCGUAGAAACUUAUUUCCUGAUGAUUUGCAAUGAUUUGGAAUGAAGAUUUUACCCAAAAAUUUCGCACUUUUUGGGUUUUUGGAGGUGGAGGGAAAGAAAAAAUGGAGCUUAGUGGUUGCCUGCUGGGUUUUGAACAAAAAUAGUACUUAACGCAAGUAACAUGCGCUACGUGACUUAACUCACGCUGCGUGACUUAAGUUAUCCUUAUAACUAGCGCAUGUUAACUCACGCUAUGCAAGUUAACAUGCGUAGGGGCAUUUUUGACUUUUAUUUUGGGAAUGAGCGAUACUGUUUGGGUAAUGAGCAAAAUUCUAAAAAAAAAUAAGAAAAAUUGGGCCAUUUUUUUAACCCAUUUCAUUUCAAAGCCCAAUUCCUCUUCUUCAAGCCCAAGGACUGAAUAAUUUCUUUUCUGUAACACGUUGUCUGGCUUCCUGAAAUUAAGCAUUUCUUUUUCUUUCUUCUCUUAGUUCUCAAACCAUGAACAGGAGAGCACAUACCAGUUAGGGUUAUAGUGGUGGAAGGAAAACUAUUCCGAUUGCGACGCCGGUGAUUGCGACGCCGGUAGUGGAACUUAUAAUUUUGCUAGUUUAUUUUGUAUUUUGAUGUUUAGUUUAACAUAAUGUUUUAUUAUUGUGGUUGAAAACCUUUAUAAUAAAUUUUAACAUAAUAUUUUGAUGUCAUGUAAAUACUAAAUUUUAUUUAACUUUAAUUUUAGGUAAACUUGUACUAGUUCUCGAGUCGAGUUUACUUAAGCAAAACGAGUUGAGGUAAACUCUCAAGUUGUAAAACCUUAUAUGUACCACCAAUGCACUUGCUAGGAUUAUGUUAGGAAGAAGAGUAUUCAAUGAUGGCAAUGGUGGUUGUGACCCUAAAGCUGAUGAGUUCAAGGAAAUGGUUCUUGAAUUGAUGGUGUUAGCUGGAGUUUUUAAUAUAAGUGAUUUUAUUCCUUCAUUAGAAUGGCUAGACCUUCAAGAAGUUCAAGCUAAAAUGAAAAAAUUACACAAACAAUUUGAUGCAUUUUUAACAAACAUUAUUGAGGAACAUGAGGCAUCUAAUUAUAAGAAUGAAAAACAUAAGGAUUUAUUGUUACUUAAAGAGGAAACGGAUGAUGAUGGAAACAAACUCACUUAUAUUGAAAUCAAAGCACUACUUUUGAUAAGUUAUCUACUUUUGAUGCAUUUUAAAUUUUUUUUUUUUUUUUUGUUAUGCUACUUGUUCUGUUUAAAGUAUUAUAUAUCAUGUCACAAUUUUAUUUUAUAUUAAAUAAAUUAUUUUUUCAAUACUUAUUUUUAUUAUACAAUAAUUCGUUCUAUGCUUAUAAAAAUUUCAUUAUCACUUCUAAAAAAAGAAUUGUGUUAUUUGAACAUCCAUACAUGUGACAACUUUUGUGACAACCAAAAUUUUGCAAGGAAAUAAGAUAGUGGCAUAAAAACCAAAGCAAUAGAGAGAGAAAGUAAAAAGAUAAUGUGAGUAUAAGAGAGAAAAUUGUCAAAAAAGUUGUAAAAAAUGAUUGUUCAAAUAUCAUUUCUCCUAAAAAAAAAAAUGUUCAUUAUCAUUUUCUUUUCAAUCCUUACCAUUUUUAGUGGAUUUUCAAUUCUUACCUAACACUCUAACAUUGACAUUUGACACCUGAAAGCCCAGUUGAAACCAAUUUUAUAAAGAAUCAACCUGCAGUUCAAUCAUUUUAUUCAAGAGACAUUGGACCUUUUUUUUUUUAUUUUUUUUUUUUAAUUCUUACCUAAUUGUGGUUGCACCUACAACUCAUCCCAAAAGACUAUUUGGGGACUGAAUUUCAAACAAACCUUUUAACUCAAGUAAUCCAUCCAUCCAUGUAAAGAAGCCUAUAUUUUUUGUCCAAACUUAACUGUCACUCCUCUUCAUCUUAAAGUCCACUUGCAAAGUUUUUUGGGGUUAAAAUGGCUUCUGUGAAUAAGAAAGAUUACAAGGGUAUUCAAAAUCCAUUACAGUUGAAAAAGGUUAUACAAAUUGAAGACAUACAUUUCUCAAUUUAAAAUGUUACAUUAAUUAUAUUUUACUUUGUGAUUAGACCUAAUUUAUCAAAGUUAAAUGUGGUAAUGGUGAAUUGGGCAAUGCAUUAUUUUUUUUCUCGCAUAUCAUUGAGCUUACAAAUUAAAAGAAAUAGAGGAACGGAAAAAUUAUUAAUAACUAAGGUAGCACUUUUAUAAUUGAGCUUACGUAUCAUUUUACAAUUGUCUUCUAUAAGAUUUAAAUUUCGUUCCUUGAAGAUCACAAGGCAAACUCUUAUCACUGAACUACAUCUCAUGACAUGCAAAAUCAACAAACUAGUUUUAUAACACAUGUAUCACAAUAACAAAAAAAAAAUUAUAGAGCAUAUACUUAUAAGUUUGAUUUUUGGUCUAGAACAUGUUUGCAGCUGGGAAAGACACAUCAUCAAGUACUACAUAAUGGGCCAUUGCAAAAAUGAUCAAAAACCCAAGAAUCUUAGCUCAAGUUCAACAAGAAUUGGACAAUGUUGUGGGCCGAGAUAGGAACGUGAAAAGAUGACAUACCUAACCUACCUUACCUACAAACAGUGAUAAAAGAAACAUUUCGCUUGCACCCAUCAACACCUCUUUCCCUCCCACGAAUUGCAUCUGAAAGUUGUGAGAUUUUUGGGUACCACGUUCCAAAGAGUUCAACUCUUUUGGUUAAUGUAUGGGCCAUUGCUCGUGAUCCAAAAGAAUGGGUUGAUCCAUUAGGAUUCAAACCUGAAAGGUUCUUAUUAGGUGGUGAGAAGUGUGAUGUUGAUGUUAAGGGAAAUGAUUUUGAAGUUAUACCUUUUGGUGCUGGACGUAGAAUAUGUGUUGGGAUGAGUCUUGGGCUUCGUAUGGUACAGCUUCUAACAGCUACACUAGCCCAUUCAUUUGAUUGGGAACUUGAAAAUGGGCUCAAUGCUG